Molecule: ribosomal RNA, 425 nt
Filed under: uncultured bacterium
Lineage: Bacteria
Description: partial 16S ribosomal RNA
Rfam family: Bacterial small subunit ribosomal RNA
Source: RNAcentral
GUGGGGAAUCUUGCGCAAUGGGCGAAAGCCUGACGCAGCCAUGCCGCGUGAAUGAUGAAGGUCUUAGGAUUGUAAAAUUCUUUCACCGGGGACGAUAAUGACGGUACCCGGAGAAGAAGCUCCGGCUAACUUCGUGCCAGCAGCCGCGGUAAUACGAAGGGGGCUAGCGUUGCUCGGAAUUACUGGGCGUAAAGGGCGCGUAGGCGGACAGCUUAGUCAGAGGUGAAAGCCCAGGGCUCAACCUUGGAAUUGCCUUUGAUACUGGCUGUCUUGAGUUUGGGAGAGGUGAGUGGAACUCCGAGUGUAGAGGUGAAAUUCGUAGAUAUUCGGAAGAACACCAGUGGCGAAGGCGACUCACUGGCCCAAUACUGCCGCUGAGGCGCGAAAGCGUGGGGAGCAAACAGGAUUAGAUACCCCUGUAGUCC